AUUGAACGCUGGCGGCAGGCCUAACACAUGCAAGUCGGACGGUAGCACAGAGGAGCUUGCUCCUCGGGUGACGAGUGGCGGACGGGUGAGUAAUGUCUGGGGAUCUGCCCGAUAGAGGGGGAUAACCACUGGAAACGGUGGCUAAUACCGCAUAACGUCGCAAGACCAAAGAGGGGGACCUUCGGGCCUCUCACUAUCGGAUGAACCCAGAUGGGAUUAGCUAGUAGGCGGGGUAACGGCCCACCUAGGCGACGAUCCCUAGCUGGUCUGAGAGGAGGACCAGCCACACUGGAACUGCGACACGGUCCAGACUCCUACGGGAGGCAGCAGUGGGGAAUAUUGCACAAUGGGCGAAAGCCUGAUGCAGCCAUGCCGCGUGUAUGAAGAAGGCCUUCGGGUUGUAAAGUACUUUCAGCGGGGAGGAAGGCGGUGCGGUUAAUAACCGCGCCGAUUGACGUUACCCGCAGAAGAAGCACCGGCUAACUCCGUGCCAGCCGCCGCAGUAA
This 506-nucleotide ribosomal RNA is filed under the name uncultured bacterium. RNAcentral describes it as "partial 16S ribosomal RNA". It matches the Rfam family "Bacterial small subunit ribosomal RNA", at positions 29 to 523 of the family's 1533-position model. The record is from RNAcentral.